Trematomus bernacchii (emerald rockcod) is the source of this 613-nucleotide long non-coding RNA. RefSeq lists it as uncharacterized. Lineage: Eukaryota; Metazoa; Chordata; Actinopteri; Perciformes; Nototheniidae. The record is from RefSeq and is a predicted model, not a curated record. The transcript has 2 exons.
AGAAGAAGAACGGAACAAACGACGAAGAAGAAAAAGUAAGAAAGAUGGAAGCAGUGAUGAAGUCAGAAAAAGACCUAAACAUGUUUAAAUCUAAAGAAACCUCCAUAUAUUUACACAAACACUCCUACUGGUUUGACUUCUGGUUGUUCGUGGUCUUCGACAUCGUGUUUUUCCUCGUCAUGUACUUUAUAAUCCCGUAAAAAAGGUUUGUCCCCUGGAGAGAAAGAGUCCCUGCUGUGAGGAAUGCUAACCGAGCUUCUACUGAUUUGAACACCAUAUUAUGGGAUAUCACGUCCCAUGUUUCCACAACUUGGACUAGAACUACAAGUCCGUACAUGUGUCUUCCUCCUGCUUUGAAACCAGACAUUUGACCCUCAGAGCUCGGUCUUUCUGCACGGAUGGAUUCACUUUGUUGCUGCUGCGAAGAGAUUCACUUCAAGUUGUUUUAUUUAAAAGUGACAAUGGCCCUUCUGAUGACCCCCUGCUGUGAUAACAUCAGAGAUCUUACCUGCACACCGUGGAGAGAAACGUGAUGAUUUGGAAAAUGAUGAGAGCAAGUCUUGAAAGUUUGCACAUGUGAAACACUGCAAUAAAAAUGUUUUACCUACAAGCA